Molecule: ribosomal RNA, 119 nt
Filed under: Pteropus alecto (black flying fox)
Lineage: Eukaryota; Metazoa; Chordata; Mammalia; Chiroptera; Pteropodidae
Also listed under: 1 other name
Source: RNAcentral
GUCUACAGCCAUGCCACCCUAAACAAGCCCAAUCCUGUCUGAUCUCGGAAGCUAAGCAGGGUCGGGCCUGGUUACUACUUGUAUGGGAGACCACCUAGGAAGACCAGGUGCUGCAGGCA